UUUCAGGGGGGGGCUGCAGCCCCCUCAGCCCCUCCCCUGGAUACGCAACUGUGAAGGAGCAAGUCCGUUGAUGAAAGACUACUACCACUACAAUAAUCAAACAUUCAAUUUUCAUGAUUCAUAACAUAUCAAUUCUAGUCAAGAGGGAACAAUAGUGAGUGAUGUAGGAAUGUGCCUGAGCCUCAAGGAGAUAACCUAUUUGGAGAAAUGCAGUGCUGCUCCAAUUCAUCAUUAUAUAAUUAUUUAAGUCAACAAAUAAGAGCUUAGUUUUGGAUAACAAGGUAAAGAAUAUUAAGAAUAUCUUGGAACUAACAUUGACUUAUCAACUAUGAUUCAGCUCAUACAUCUUCUUUUGACAAUCUCAAGUUUUUAUUUUCAGCCAAUUAAUUUUUAUCCUUACUGUUAAUUUUUGUAUAUUUAACUGUUAUUGGUGUUUUAUUUACUUAUUUUUUAACAAAAACAUAUAAUGGAUAGAAUUUAUUGACAAAAUGUUAACCAUUGUAAUACAUUAUACAGACAUAAAUUUUCUAAAUUUCGGUGCUGGUCUAGUUG
Acyrthosiphon pisum (pea aphid) is the source of this 552-nucleotide long non-coding RNA. RefSeq lists it as uncharacterized. The record is from RefSeq and is a predicted model, not a curated record. The transcript is spliced from 3 exons. NCBI's taxonomy places the organism in Eukaryota, Metazoa, Arthropoda, Insecta, Hemiptera, Aphididae.